Molecule: small nuclear RNA, 152 nt
Organism: Cebus imitator (Panamanian white-faced capuchin)
Lineage: Eukaryota; Metazoa; Chordata; Mammalia; Primates; Cebidae
Source: Ensembl
ACCAUGUUUUUCUUGAGGUUGCACUACUGUCACAUGAGCGCAUAGUAAGGGCAGUACUGCUAACACCUAUAAAACACUACUAAUAACAUAGAUAAGGUAGGCAGCAAGUAUAUUGUCUCUGAGACUUGGGACUGCCUUUCUUCUCUGGAAUG